Molecule: transfer RNA, 85 nt
Filed under: Waddliaceae bacterium
Lineage: Bacteria; Pseudomonadati; Chlamydiota; Chlamydiia; Parachlamydiales; Waddliaceae
Description: tRNA-Leu
Rfam family: tRNA
About the family: Transfer RNA (tRNA) molecules are approximately 80 nucleotides in length. Their secondary structure includes four short double-helical elements and three loops (D, anti-codon, and T loops).
Source: RNAcentral
GCCGAUGUGGCGAAAUGGUAGACGCGGUAGAUUCAAAAUCUACUUCUGCUUGCGCAGAGUGCUGGUUCGAGUCCGGUCAUCGGCA